UAGGGAAUAUUGCUUAAUGGGCGAAAGCCUGAAGCAGCAACGCCGCGUGUGCGAUGAAGGCCUUCGGGUUGUAAAGCACUUUUUGAGGGGAUGAGGAAGGACAGUACCCUCAGAAUAAGCCUCGGCUAACUACGUGCCAGCAGCCGCGGUAACACGUAGGAGGCGAGCGUUAUCCGGAUUUACUGGGUGUAAAGCGCGUGCAGGCGGUUCAGAAAGUUGGAUGUGAAAGCUCCCGGCUUAACUGGGAGAGGUCGUUCAAUACUUCAGGACUCGAGUAUGGGAGAGGGAGGUGGAAUUCCGGGUGUAGUGGUGAAAUGCGUAGAUAUCCGGAGGAACACCAGUGGCGAAAGCGGCCUCCUGGUCCAUUACUGACGCUCAGACGCGAAAGCUAGGGUAGCA
RNAcentral lists this ribosomal RNA (399 nucleotides) under uncultured bacterium. Its description in RNAcentral is "bacterial SSU rRNA". It matches the Rfam family "Bacterial small subunit ribosomal RNA", at positions 355 to 770 of the family's 1533-position model. The record is from RNAcentral.